UACGUAGGGCGCAAGCGUUGUCCGGAAUUAUUGGGCGUAAAGAGCUCGUAGGCGGUUUGUCGCGUCUGCUGUGAAAACCUAAGGCUCAACCUUGGGCUUGCAGUGGGUACGGGCAGACUAGAGUGCGGUAGGGGUGACUGGAAUUCCUGGUGUAGCGGUGGAAUGCGCAGAUAUCAGGAGGAACACCGGUGGCGAAGGCGGUUCUCUGGGCAGUAACUGACGCUGAGGAGCGAAAGCGUGGGGAGCGAACAGG
RNAcentral lists this ribosomal RNA (253 nucleotides) under uncultured bacterium. Its description in RNAcentral is "partial 16S ribosomal RNA". It matches the Rfam family "Bacterial small subunit ribosomal RNA", at positions 524 to 776 of the family's 1533-position model. The record is from RNAcentral.